Molecule: ribosomal RNA, 585 nt
Filed under: uncultured bacterium
Lineage: Bacteria
Description: bacterial SSU rRNA
Rfam family: Bacterial small subunit ribosomal RNA
Source: RNAcentral
GAGUGACAGUUUCCGGCUUAACUGGAAAAGGUCUUCGAAAACUGGUGGACUUGAGGACUUGAGGGGGAGACGGAAUUCCGGGUGGAGCGGUGAAAUGCGUAGAGAUCCGGAGGAACACCGAAGGCGAAGGCAGUCUCCUGGCAAGUUCCUGACGCUCAUGUGCGAAAGCUAGGGGAGCGAACAGGAUUAGAUACCCUGGUAGUCCUAGCCGUAAACGAUGACCACUAGGCGUGGGAGGUAUCGACCCCUUCCGUGCCGCAGCAUACGCAUUAAGUGGUCCGCCUGGGGAGUACGGUCGCAAGAUUAAAACUCAAAGGAAUUGACGGGGACCCGCACAAGCAGCGGAGCGUGUGGUUUAAUUCGAUGCAACGCGAAGAACCUUACCAGGACUUGACAUGCAAUUGCACCACCCGUUAUGGGGUGUCCCUUCGGGGCGGUUGCACAGGUGCUGCAUGGCUGUCGUCAGCUCGUGUCGUGAGAUGUUGGGUUCAGUCCCGCAACGAGCGCAACCCUUGCCGCUAGUUGAAAUGGUCUAGCGGGACCGCCGCGAUCAACGCGGAGGAAGGCGGGGGAUGACGUCAAGUC